RNAcentral lists this ribosomal RNA (468 nucleotides) under uncultured bacterium. Its description in RNAcentral is "partial 16S ribosomal RNA". It matches the Rfam family "Bacterial small subunit ribosomal RNA", at positions 28 to 507 of the family's 1533-position model. The record is from RNAcentral.
GACGAACGCUGGCGGCGUGCUUAACACAUGCAAGUCGAACGGAAAGGCCCCGCUUUUGUGGGGCGCUCGAGUGGCGAACGGGUGAGUAACACGUGAGUAACCUGCCCUUGACUUUGGGAUAACUUCAGGAAACCGGGGCUAAUACCGGAUAUGAGCUCCUGAUGCAUGGUGGGGGUUGGCAAGCUUCGGUGGUUGGGGCUGGACUCGCGGCUUAUCAGCUUGUUGGUGGGGUAGUGGCUUACCAAGGCUUUGACGGGUAGCCGGCCUGAGAAGGUGAACGGCGACAUUGGGACUGAGAUACGGACCAGACGCGAACGGUAGGCAGCAGUGGGAAGUAUGGCACAGUAGGCGGAAGCCUGAUGCGGCGGCGCCGCGUGCGGGAUGACGGCCUUCGGGUUGUAAACCGCUUUCGCCUGUGACGAGGCGUGAGUGACGGUAAUGGGUAAAGAAGCACCGGCUAACUACGUG